CAAACCUUCAAGAAGGGCAGAUGCUUGCAGCCUUGUGAGUGAACAUGCCUGAGAGGAGACUGCAGUCUGCCCUGGGGGGCUCCCUAGCCUUUGCUGCCUUUUUCUCUGCUUCCUGGAGUAGCUGCUGAUCGGAGGAAGCCUCUUGCCUGUUCUGGCCUCCCUCUGGCUGUGUGAGGGCAGGCAGAGGCUGCCUGACAGAGCCACGGAGCACAACUGAGCCAGGAGAGCAUUGGAUCUCUUGGAUGCUGCUGACUUCAGCCUAAACAGAGCCUGUCCUUCUGCAAACACACUUGUUAGAUUGCCUGUGCUCUCCAAAUGAAGGGCUGGUGCUUCUUGCAUGGAGAAUGUACAGACUCUCCAUGUUUCCUUUGGGUUAUCAGUGGGGUGAAGCAGGUCAGAAUGGCUCAGCUUUGAUACUUGCUGGGAAAUCAACUCUCUAAUAUUUUGUGUGAAGAUGAGAAGGUUUGGAGCAAGAUGACAAAUAGGUGCUGUAUGAGACUGUCCUUUCGGGACUGAUGUACCACAGUCCAAACCCAAAGGAUGUCUUGGGGAACCUCAGAUCCAGGUUUCACCAAUGGGUCCCACAGACUUACAUCUAGAGAAGAUUCACAGAGGGCUCUUGAACACAAUGCUCCUCUUUCCAGCAUCUGCUUCAACUGCAAAGGAUGUGGGAAAAGCUGGGCUCUGUCUCCUGGAAGCAGCAAACAUAAACCCACAACAGCAACAGAUGCAGGACCUGAUGCCCUACGUGGAGCACUGUAACAAAUAUUGCUUUCUGUCUGAGUGCUCCUCUUCCUUGCUGCAUGCCUGGGGAUGAACUUGGACAACAUGCAGCCAUGGCAAAUUUGGGCACACAGUGGACCCAGCUCCAAGGGGUUUUGUGCACUGUGCAGAUGAGCUGGAGGAUGGAAUGGGCUGUGCAGCCAUUCCUGUGGCACAGCAACAGGAUUCCCUGUGUCUGGCUCCCAUGUGGCACGCAGGGGAGCAGGAUCUGUGGGAAGGGCUGGGGCUGGCUCAGCUGGCAGAGGGCAAGAUGAUGCCAGUGAGACUUGGCUGGAAGAAGCCUUUAAAGUCAGUGUAGGUUGCUGCCUGGUGGGCUCAGCCCACAGCCACCUGCAAACCUGCAGAGGGGAGGGCUGCAUCUCACUGAGCUGU
Molecule: long non-coding RNA, 1155 nt
Organism: Passer montanus (Eurasian tree sparrow)
Lineage: Eukaryota; Metazoa; Chordata; Aves; Passeriformes; Passeridae
Exons: 3
Source: RefSeq, a predicted model, not a curated record